This 728-nucleotide long non-coding RNA is filed under the name Homo sapiens (human). RNAcentral's name for it is "HSALNT0073961". The record is from RNAcentral. Lineage: Eukaryota; Metazoa; Chordata; Mammalia; Primates; Hominidae.
GAAGAAUUGCCCUUCCGCAAGUCUUCCCUUCCCACAUGGGGGCCCUCCAGGCCGCACCUCGGUCGCCCACCGCUUCCCUUGAGAAGGGAGACUAAAGACAGGCAUCUGGAAGCUGUCACUGUGGCGCGCGGGCAGACAGGGGAUCCCAUUGGAGAGGAAGAGCCGUAGUAGUCGCUGCUGCCUUCGGCCGACCCAACGGCCGCCUGCUUGGGAGGAAGAAAAAGAACGCCCCCGCUGAAGAAUUAAGGCAGCCAUUGGUUGCUCUAGGGCUCUAUUCAAUGCAGGAGAUGACUACGGGAAGUGUGAAUACCAGAAGGCAAGGGUUACAAGAUGGGCAGUACAAUAGAGGAUGGACUGGAGUUGGAAAAGACUAAAGCAGCAAGUUUGAUAAGGAGGCUACAGCAAUAGUCCAGGUGAAAGACGCAAGAGCCCAAAAUGCAGCAGUGGCCAAGGGAAUGGAUCUGAGAUAAAGUUCAGAAGAUAGAGUUGGCAGGGCAGGUGAGGAGAAGAGAAGAAGGCCACAUGAAGAUGGAGCAAGAGAUUGGAGUGAUGUGGCCACAAGCCAAGGAAGCUGAGGAAUGAAGACAGCUAUCAGAAGCUGGAAGAGGAAAAGAAUUCUCUCUUGGGGUCUGCAGAGGGAGAACAGCCCUGCCAACACUUCCAUUUCCAAUGUCUGGACUCUAGAACUGUGAGAAAAUAAAUUCCCAUUAUUUUAAGGAACACAGUUU